RNAcentral lists this ribosomal RNA (277 nucleotides) under uncultured Staphylococcus sp. Its description in RNAcentral is "partial 16S ribosomal RNA". It matches the Rfam family "Bacterial small subunit ribosomal RNA", at positions 505 to 782 of the family's 1533-position model. Lineage: Bacteria; Bacillati; Bacillota; Bacilli; Caryophanales; Staphylococcaceae. The record is from RNAcentral.
GUGCCAGCAGCCGCGGUAAUACGUAGGUGGCAAGCGUUAUCCGGAAUUAUUGGGCGUAAAGCGCGCGUAGGCGGUUUUUAAGUCUGAUGUGAAAGCCCACGGCUCAACCGUGGAGGGUCAUUGGAAACUGGAAAACUUGAGUGCAGAAGAGGAAAGUGGAAUUCCAUGUGUAGCGGUGAAAUGCGCAGAGAUAUGGAGGAACACCAGUGGCGAAGGCGACUUUCUGGUCUGUAACUGACGCUGAUGUGCGAAAGCGUGGGGAUCAAACAGGAUUAGA